UGUAGGAGUGAGCCUGCUCGCGAUAGCGGUGUGUCAGUGACAUUUAAGGUGACUGACACACUGCUAUCGCGAGCAGGCUCACUCCUACA
Molecule: non-coding RNA, 89 nt
Filed under: Pseudomonas sp. 29
Lineage: Bacteria; Pseudomonadati; Pseudomonadota; Gammaproteobacteria; Pseudomonadales; Pseudomonadaceae
Source: RNAcentral